This 253-nucleotide ribosomal RNA is filed under the name uncultured bacterium. RNAcentral describes it as "partial 16S ribosomal RNA". It matches the Rfam family "Bacterial small subunit ribosomal RNA", at positions 524 to 776 of the family's 1533-position model. The record is from RNAcentral.
UACGUAGGGUGCAAGCGUUGUCCGGAAUUAUUGGGCGUAAAGAGCUCGUAGGCGGUUUGUCGCGUCUGCUGUGAAAACUCGGGGCUUAACUCCGGGCCUGCAGUGGGUACGGGCAGACUAGAGUGCGGUAGGGGAGACUGGAAUUCCUGGUGUAGCGGUGAAAUUCGUAGAUAUCAGGAGGAACACCGGUGGCGAAGGCGGCUUUCUGGACGACAACUGACGCUGAGACGCGAAAGCGUGGGGAGCAAACAGG